Rhipicephalus microplus (southern cattle tick) is the source of this 769-nucleotide long non-coding RNA. Lineage: Eukaryota; Metazoa; Arthropoda; Arachnida; Ixodida; Ixodidae. The record is from RefSeq and is a predicted model, not a curated record.
UGCACGCGUUUUAUGCUCUUGGCUGGGUGUUCAGGACGACGACUGGCGAUGCCCGGAAUGAGCGAAGGCUGUCUUCGGCGAGUACACUUUACACCCCGCACUAGCCGCCGCGCGCCCUUGGAGCGAAGCCACAGUCUUCAUUAAAGUGUGCAGUGCUUUCAAGGAAAGUGUUUCCCACGGACCCCGGGCCACGCACCCCUGAGGAGCACCAUAACUGCGGAGCGGUGGUCCUCCCCGCUCGGGUCAGGCGCAGUCAAGACCCUUGGGGCCUUCCUUCAUCUUCGAAGGAAGAGUGAAAUAAGAUAUAUACCCAGGAACGUCUGCGAAACAGCGGCAACACUUGCGUUUUAUUUUAUUGCUCGCCUCUGUAAGCUUCAGUCACUGGCAACCUGGACGUCCUAGGUCGUUUGUCAAGUGCUCCCUGGGACCACCUUGGUCAGAGUAAAACGCUGGAGAAAGAUGACGACCUUCUCACGACCGAGGGCAAAAUGAGAAAGAAAAGUCGCAAAGGAGAGGACGUCGAACCAACGCACUACCGCUUCGCUACCCUGCACAUAUAAAAUGAGAUUGAAGGAUAGAAGUAAAGACGAGGCAAGGAGAAAGGUCAUAUCAGUGCGGAGCACCUGUGGCAGUUCAUUACGCCUCGAUCGCCGAUGCCAGUCGGCAUGAAGAACGGCACCCACGCAUGCGUCUCUUUCCAAGCCUGUGAUGCGUAUAAGGUCGUGGUAUUCUGUUUAUCUAUAAAUGAAUACAUCUUGAAAGUGGAAUA